This 1349-nucleotide long non-coding RNA is filed under the name Manihot esculenta (cassava). RNAcentral's name for it is "long non-coding RNA (MESC_LNC009042)". Lineage: Eukaryota; Viridiplantae; Streptophyta; Magnoliopsida; Malpighiales; Euphorbiaceae. The record is from RNAcentral.
CAAACUUUGCAAUGUUUUCCUCAUUUUCUUCUGAAGGUUUAUCCUUCUUUCUCUCUCGGUUCUGGUUGAUUUAUCCUGCCUAAUUCCGGAUGAGAAAAGCUUAUGUUUUUCCUUUCCGAUUGUGGAUUUUUGCUUUCCUCAUGGCCGAGAAGAUGUAGAUAAUUUUUUGCCUCCUCUAUAGAUUUUUGUCUAUAUAAAUAAAAUAUAUAUUGAUUUGUCUUUUCUGUUGAAUUUGCAUUUUGUUUUUACUCUUGCAUAUUGAUUCUUUUGCAAGUAGUCGCAGCAGUUGAGGGAGUUGGAGACGCCGUUUCUAGAUCUGUGGUUUCUCUGGCUAUUUGUAGGACUUUCUCGCGAGUCGUCAUUUUAGCUUGGUCUGAACAUCUCUGAGGAUAUUCAUGGAGCCUCAGUCGUUUCGGCUUCCCGAUCCUUCAUCAUCUACAAGAGAUUGAGAUGGCGUUGAACUCAAUUCCGCUGCCUAUCGAGAUCUCCAGUCACUCCCUUCCUCCUUCCCGUUUGCACAAAUAUAGAGUUCUUUAGUCGUUUUUCUGGAGCAGAUCUUCCUAUUUGGUAGAUUGCUGUCGUGUUCUCUCAGUAAUGUUCCGGAUCAUUGGCUUGGGCAGAGAAGACUUGUGGUUGCUUCUAAGUUGGUUGCUUUACUGCUCGGGUUUUUCUUCUCACGGUCGGACCUCUGAUUAGCCUAGGGUUUUCCUAAUUUUUUGGAAAAAUUACUUUUUAGUCUCUGAGGUUUAACGUAAUUAACACUUCUGUCCCUCUAUUUUGACGACCCAACACAUAAGUCCCUCACUUUCUCUUUCGUCCAAAUUCGUAGUCCUUUCGUCCAUUUAAAUCGUUUGGUCAAAGAGUCAACGGUGAGAGGUGAUAAUUUUUUCUAAAAAUACCCUUCUCUCAAUGUGAAAUUCUUAUUUUUUUUUUCUUUCAUGUUUUCUCAAGAAGAAAAAGAAGAAGAAGAAAAAGAAGUUGCAGAAAUGGUAGGAAGAAGAAGAAAGAAGAAGAAGUUGCAAAAAGGGUAAGAAGAAGAAGAAGAAAAAGAAAAAAAAGAAGAAAGAAGUUGCAAAAAGGGUAGGAAGAAGAAGAAAAAGUGUUAAUUACGUGUUGGAUAGAAAAGAAAAUGAGGGAUUUAAAUGUUGGAUCGCCAAAAUAGAGGGACAAAAGUGUUAAUUACGUUAAAUUUCAGGGAUUAAAAAGUAAUUUUUUCUAAUUUUUUUUUAUUUUGCGGGCUAUUGAGGGUUUGAGGAGGUGGUUGUUUGAAUGCUAAAAACUGCCCAAUUUUAGAAAUAUUAUAAUCUAUUAUUUUUUACAUGUAAAUUAAAAACUUUAUUUUUCAGAUA